RNAcentral lists this ribosomal RNA (492 nucleotides) under uncultured bacterium. RNAcentral's name for it is "partial 16S ribosomal RNA". It matches the Rfam family "Bacterial small subunit ribosomal RNA", at positions 29 to 507 of the family's 1533-position model. The record is from RNAcentral.
AGUGAACGCUGGCGGUAGGCCUAACACAUGCAAGUCGAACGGCAGCACAGUAAGAGCUUGCUCUUACGGGUGGCGAGUGGCGGACGGGUGAGGAAUACAUCGGAAUCUACUUUUUCGUGGGGGAUAACGUAGGGAAACUUACGCUAAUACCGCAUACGACCUACGGGUGAAAGCAGGGGAUCUUCGGACCUUGCGCGAUUGAAUGAGCCGAUGUCGGAUUAGCUAGUUGGCGGGGUAAAGGCCCACCAAGGCGACGAUCCGUAGCUGGUCUGAGAGGAUGAUCAGCCACACUGGAACUGAGACACGGUCCAGACUCCUACGGGAGGCAGCAGCGGGGAAUAUUGGACAAUGGGCGCAAGCCUGAUCCAGCCAUACCGCGUGGGUGAAGAAGGCCUUCGGGUUGUAAAGCCCUUUUGUUGGGAAAGAAGAGCAGCAGGUUAAUACCCCGCUGUUCUGACGGUACCCAAAGAAUAAGCACCGGCUAACUUCGUG